This 76-nucleotide transfer RNA is filed under the name candidate division WWE3 bacterium. RNAcentral's name for it is "tRNA-Pro". It matches the Rfam family "tRNA". Rfam says of the family: Transfer RNA (tRNA) molecules are approximately 80 nucleotides in length. Lineage: Bacteria; candidate division WWE3. The record is from RNAcentral.
CAGGGACUAGAUCAAUCGGUAGAUCGCUACGUUCGGGACGUAGAGGUUCCCGGUUCAAGUCCGGGGUCCCUGACCA